AGCAGCCGCGGUAAUUCCAGCUCCAAUAGCGUAUAUUAAAGUUGUUGCAGUUAAAAAGCUCGUAGUUGAAUUUCGGGAUCAAUAUAUCGGUCGUGCCAUUGGUACGUACUGGUAUCAUUGGUUUCUCCUUUCUGACGAACCAUGAUGUCAUUAAUUUGGUGUUAUGGGAAGUUAGGACUGUUACUUUGAAAAAAUUAGAGUGUUUAAAGCAGGCUUUAGCUUGAAUACAUUAGCAUGGAAUAAUGAAAUAGGACGUUCGAUCCUAUUUUGUUGGUUUCUAGGAUUGACGUAAUGAUUAAUAGGGAUAGUUGGGGGCAUUAGUAUUCAAUUGUCAGAGGUGAAAUUCUUGGAUUUAUUGAAGACUAACUACUGCGAAAGCAUUUGCCAAGGAUGUUUUCAUUAAUCAAGAACGAAAGUUAGGGGAUCGAAGACGAUCAGAUACCGUCGUAGUCUUAACCAUAAACUAUGCCGACUAGGGAUCGGAUGAUGUUAAUUUUUAAUGACUCAUUCGGCGCCUUAA
Molecule: ribosomal RNA, 520 nt
Filed under: uncultured Glomus
Lineage: Eukaryota; Fungi; Glomeromycota; Glomeromycetes; Glomerales; Glomeraceae
Description: SSU rRNA
Rfam family: Eukaryotic small subunit ribosomal RNA
Source: RNAcentral